GCCCCAUAUCGAUGGUAUCUGACAGAAGGCAAUCUUUCACAGUCAUGCCCCAUCUUUGCAACAAAAGGAUGAUGGAGGAUAAGUGAAAACUGUACAAAGCUGAAUACCUCCAGGUUAAGGAUUUCUGACCUCUUUGAAGACAGGCAUUUUAUAAUCUUGGUGGAUAUAUUGCUGGACCUUUGCCAAGCCCUGCUUGUCAAGUGAAAAUACUGAGAAAGAAGAUUAUUUCUACAAUUCCUUUUAAGUCUAUUUGCCUUAUGUUUUUUAUUUUAAAAAAACUAUAAAGUUUGUUAGUUUUUAAAAUAAUUAAACUGUUUACCAUCAAGCAUUUCAGUUCCAGAUAAACUGCAUGAAGAAGUUGAAAUGGUAGUAAAGAAAACAAAGAUGGGAAAUGCAGCUAGACCAAUGAGUGAUGCUUUUUUUCCUCAGAAGGAAAGAUAAUGCCUGAGAACUAGAGAUUCCAAUUCAGUGGCACCCAGAUGGGGCCAGCUCUACAUUUUAAUAGCAUCCAUUUCCACUUCACAUACCAAAAUCUUUAGAACUGUGGAUAAAAGACUAAUAUCAAUAGGAAUCACCACUUCACUCCUGCAAGAAAGCUAGCCUAAAUCUCAUUAGGUGAACUGACCAAGGAUCGGUAUAGGAACUAUACUCCGUCUUUUUUCCUCUGAUACUCUUUCCUCUAUGAAAGCACUGACUCUAGACAAAGCCUGGGAACUCACGUUUCAAGGCCAGCCUGCGUGAUCUUAGGUUGGACCUGUGGUACUCCCAAGUCGUCUUGAUUUAGUUCCACCCAAUGUUCUCCCUAUUCUCCCACCGAGGCAAAGCUUUUUGUCAGUGGCUUCCAAGAUGCAGAAAAGAGGAGCCAGGGUGACCACAGCACCAGCCCCCAAUGAAUUCAUGGCUGCUACUCAAAAAAGGAAGGAGUCUCCAAGCUCCAAUGGGUGAGACUGUGCCGGCUGGCUUUAUUGCCCACAGCCUCCCCGGUGCAGCUGGAAGGAAGGCCCAUAUGUGAAAUGGGGAGCCAUCUUUGGGGCCAAUAGGGAUUAAGGGGGGAGGCCAGGAGUAAAGACUUCUAAAACUCCCUCCUUCCUUUGCUAUUAGGCAAUGUGAUUUUCUUCCUGGCAUUAGAGAACAUUCUGUCACCCCAGAGCUUAUUCUGGGCCCAAGCAGAGACAGAGCAGGGAACAGUUUAGGAGCAAUCAUGCUCCUAAAUCGGAAUUUCAGGGAGAACCCCACUCGGAAGAGACUUGGCUCAGGGAGGCUUGAUCUCCUGAAGGUUCUCAGUAGAUUCAGCUAACGGGAAAAGGAAUAAUGAGAUAGGCCAUGUGCAAUGUCUUACAGCACUUUAAUGCCCUCUCUCGUUCUGCUUUAUAUGUUACUCGUGUACAUGCUUAGCCUUCCCUACCACCUCAGUCAUUUCUGUUUUCAGCCACUAACACAGUAGUUUGUACACAAUAUACAUUUGAUACACUUAAUGCAUAUUUGUUGAAUGAACAUGCAGAACAUUGGCUUUCUUCUCAUUAUGGGCCAAAUCCAUGAUACUUUUAUACUUCCUGAAAUUCUCUUUGUACAAACUCUUCCUCAGUUAUCGGGCUGACAGCUUCUCUUUUCUUCCUAUCCUAUCUGGAAAUGGGGUUUUCUAGUAAGUCUUUGGAGGAUAUAAAUACUUUAUUUCCAAUUCAUUAACCUACUGAUAUCUCCCUUUGUUUUAGAACUCUGAGUCUCUACAUGGUAAGAACUGUCUAUGGGGUUUCUCUUAGGAGGGAGGCAAAGGCUACACAUAAUACUACACAAAAUUGGGUAUGAUGUGGUUAUUGGGGAUCUUUUGCUGAUUCCCACAAGAAAGAUUUGGGAGCUAAAGGAAAGGUGAUAAAUCUAUUCAAAGAAGCAAACUUUGGCUCAAUCUUUAGGUCAAAUGAAAACAAGCUAAACGAUCUGUACAAAAACAGGAAACAUGGCUUCUUCCUGGUGUGCAGGAUUUUAGUUUUAAAGGCAACUCAUUCCUCUGUGUCUCCUAACGGAGUCCCAAGGUUCCUCUUCCCUGUGUCGGGGAAAAGAGGAGACUUACCUUUAUCCCAGCAGCACUCAAGCAUGCGGUUACCCAGCCUGAAUGACUCAUUCUCAGAAGCUUUGCAGCUCAGCGUCACAGAACUGUUGGGCAUAGCCAAGUGCAUGGAGGUGGGGGCCUUAAAAGGCCUAAGAACAGAAAACCAAGGUGUUGGAGAUAGCUACCAUGGCCUCCUUCAGUUGCGUCUGCUGGGAACCUACAGGAAGUCAAGCUUGAGGGGUAACCACCCCAAUGCAAACCUCCUCUUUGGGUAGAGUUGUCCCUAACAUAGCAAUAAAGGUUGGUUCUUUCUAAAUGCUUCCCUACUUUCUCUGGUUCCAGAGUAACCUCGGGGAUGACACAUUCCCUAAUGCCUGCGGUGAUGGUCAUGGUGAGAGGAAGCAUAUUAUCAUUAUGGUCACUUGGCUUGUUGCCAUUUCUCUAUUGCCUAUUUCCUCUCAGAAUCUCCCUUUGCCAUACAAUUUCAAAACAUCACACACUUCUGUUUUUCAUUUUCUUCUGUAAUUAGUUGGUUAUUAGGGAAGAAAAGAAGUAUGGGAGAUAAUUGUAAGUUAGAUUCUACUUCUCCUUCUUUCACUUCCUCUUAUAGAAGUUAGUUCUUCCGAACAAAUACUUGAGGACAGCAAAUGUAUAAAUAGAAUUUUAAGUCACUAUAAAUUAAUGUGCAAAUACUACACUGAUUUCUCAAUCAAAAGCAACAUACAAACACUAAAACACCAAAACACACUUUAGCAGCAAGAAUCCUUCUAGGAAUAUGCCUCCAAAAUAGAUUCAACAAAUGGGACCCCUUGUACCAACAGUUAAAAUUCCCAAGAUAAUCAUUGAUUCUACAAAUACUAAAUUAGGACAAAACCAGUAUGGAUCCUAAAGAGUAUGCGUGUGCUUAAAAGAAUGGUCAUUAUCUCACUUCAUCCUUAGGCUUCUUGAUCCCUUCCACUAGAGCAGGUAGUCACACUCUCCAGCCUCUUUAGGGGAAGGGGACAUUGAUGGCUGACUGAUCCCAGGAAGACAGAGUGGGUCGGGUCGGCUUGGUGCAGGCUGCUGGUCCUGGGACGACUUCUAUGCUGGGAUUUCCUCUGGCAGCCUGCCUUAUCACGAAG
Long non-coding RNA from Sarcophilus harrisii (Tasmanian devil), 3168 nucleotides. NCBI's taxonomy places the organism in Eukaryota, Metazoa, Chordata, Mammalia, Dasyuromorphia, Dasyuridae. The record is from Ensembl.